GAUGAACGCUGGCGGCGUGCCUAAUACAUGCAAGUCGAGCGAACAGACGAGGAGCUUGCUCCUUUGACGUUAGCGGCGGACGGGUGAGUAACACGUAGGUAACCUACCUAUAAGACUGGGAUAACUUCGGGAAACCGGAGCUAAUACCGGAUAAUAUUUCGAACCGCAUGGUUCGAUAGUGAAAGAUGGCUUUGCUAUCACUUAUAGAUGGACCUGCGCCGUAUUAGCUAGUUGGUAAGGUAACGGCUUACCAAGGCAACGAUACGUAGCCGACCUGAGAGGGGGAUCGGCCACACUGGAACUGAGACACGGUCCAGACGCCUACGGGAGGCAGCAGUAGGGAAUCUUCCGCAAUGGGCGAAAGCCUGACGGAGCAACGCCGCGUGUGUGAUGAAGGUCUUCGGAUCGUAAAACUCUGUUAUUAGGGAAGAACAAACGUGUAAGUAACGGUGCACGUCUUGACGGUACCUAAUCAGAAAGCCACGGCUAACUACGU
RNAcentral lists this ribosomal RNA (496 nucleotides) under uncultured bacterium. RNAcentral's name for it is "partial 16S ribosomal RNA". It matches the Rfam family "Bacterial small subunit ribosomal RNA", at positions 28 to 506 of the family's 1533-position model. The record is from RNAcentral.